GAGUUUGAUCUUGGCUCAGAACGAACGCUGGCGGCGUGGAUAAGACAUGCAAGUCGAACGGGAGAAUUGCUAGCUUGCUAAUAAUUCUCUAGUGGCGCACGGGUGAGUAACACGUGAGUAACCUGCCCCCGAGAGCGGGGUAGCCCUGGGAAACUGGGAUUAAUACCGCAUAGUAUCGAAAGAUUAAAGCAGCAAUGCGCUUGGGGAUGGGCUCGCGGCCUAUUAGUUAGUUGGUGAGGUAACGGCUCACCAAGGCGAUGACGGGUAGCCGGUCUGAGAGGAUGUCCGGCCACACUGGAACUGAGACACGGUCCAGACACCUACGGGUGGCAGCAGUCGAGAAUCAUUCACAAUGGGGGAAACCCUGAUGGUGCGACGCCGCGUGGGGGAAUGAAGGUCUUCGGAUUGUAAACCCCUGUCAUGUGGGAGCAAAUUAAAAAGAUAGUACCACAAGAGGAAGAGACGGCUAACUCUGUGCCAGCAGCAGCCGCAGUAAC
This 497-nucleotide ribosomal RNA is filed under the name uncultured microorganism. RNAcentral describes it as "bacterial SSU rRNA". It matches the Rfam family "Bacterial small subunit ribosomal RNA", at positions 9 to 524 of the family's 1533-position model. The record is from RNAcentral.